This 1016-nucleotide ribosomal RNA is filed under the name uncultured bacterium. Its description in RNAcentral is "bacterial SSU rRNA". It matches the Rfam family "Bacterial small subunit ribosomal RNA", at positions 357 to 1376 of the family's 1533-position model. The record is from RNAcentral.
AGGAAUAUUGGUCAAUGGGCGCAGGCCUGAACCAGCCAAGUAGCGUGAAGGAUGACUGCCCUAUGGGUUGUAAACUUCUUUUAUAUGGGAAUAAAGUGGUCCACGUGUGGAUUUUUGUAUGUACCAUAUGAAUAAGGAUCGGCUAACUCCGUGCCAGCAGCCGCGGUAAUACGGAGGAUCCGAGCGUUAUCCGGAUUUAUUGGGUUUAAAGGGAGCGUAGAUGGAUGUUUAAGUCAGUUGUGAAAGUUUGCGGCUCAACCGUAAAAUUGCAGUUGAUACUGGAUAUCUUGAGUGCAGUUGAGGCAGGCGGAAUUCGUGGUGUAGCGGUGAAAUGCUUAGAUAUCACGAAGAACUCCGAUUGCGAAGGCAGCCUGCUAAGCUGCAACUGACAUUGAGGCUCGAAAGUGUGGGUAUCAAACAGGAUUAGAUACCCUGGUAGUCCACACGGUAAACGAUGAAUACUCGCUGUUUGCGAUAUACUGCAAGCGGCCAAGCGAAAGCGUUAAGUAUUCCACCUGGGGAGUACGCCGGCAACGGUGAAACUCAAAGGAAUUGACGGGGGCCCGCACAAGCGGAGGAACAUGUGGUUUAAUUCGAUGAUACGCGAGGAACCUUACCCGGGCUUAAAUUGCAGAUGAAUUACGGUGAAAGCCGUAAGCCGCAAGGCAUCUGUGAAGGUGCUGCAUGGUUGUCGUCAGCUCGUGCCGUGAGGUGUCGGCUUAAGUGCCAUAACGAGCGCAACCCUUGUUGUCAGUUACUAACAGGUUCCGCUGAGGACUCUGACAAGACUGCCAUCGUAAAAUGUGAGGAAGGUGGGGAUGACGUCAAAUCAGCACGGCCCUUACGUCCGGGGCUACACACGUGUUACAAUGGGGGGUACAGAGGGCCGCUACCACGCGAGUGGAUGCCAAUCCCCAAAACCUCUCUCAGUUCGGACUGGAGUCUGCAACCCGACUCCACGAAGCUGGAUUCGCUAGUAAUCGCGCAUCAGCCACGGCGCGGUGAAUACGUUCCCG